UAGCCUUGCGGCCGUACUCCCCAGGCGGGGCACUUAAUGCGUUAGCUGCGGCACGGGAGGAGUGGAUACCCCCCACACCUAGUGCCCAUCGUUUACAGCGUGGACUACCAGGGUAUCUAAUCCUGUUUGCUCCCCACGCUUUCGCGUCUCAGCGUCAGUAUCGGUCCAGGAGGCCGCUUUCGCCACCGGUGUUCCUCCCAAUAUCUACGAAUUUCACCUCUACACUGGGAAUUCCGCCUCCCUCUCCCGUACUCAAGCCAGGCAGUUUCAGAUGCACUUCCCCGGUUAAGCCGAGGGCUUUCACAUCUGACUUACCAAGCCGCCUACACGCGCUUUACGCCCAGUAAUUCCGAACAACGCUUGCACCCUCCGUAUUACCGCGGCUGCUGGCACGGAGUUAGCCGGUGCUUCUUCCUACGGUACCGUCAGACUCCGCGGAUUAUCCCCGCGGAGCGUUCGUCCCGUCCGAAAGGGCUUUACGACCCGAAGGCCUUCUUCACCCACGCGGCGUUGCUGCGUCAGGGUUUCCCCCAUUGCGCAAUAUUCCUCA
Molecule: ribosomal RNA, 550 nt
Filed under: uncultured bacterium
Lineage: Bacteria
Description: partial 16S ribosomal RNA
Source: RNAcentral